This 497-nucleotide ribosomal RNA is filed under the name uncultured bacterium. RNAcentral's name for it is "partial 16S ribosomal RNA". It matches the Rfam family "Bacterial small subunit ribosomal RNA", at positions 28 to 507 of the family's 1533-position model. The record is from RNAcentral.
GAUGGACGCUGGCGGCGUGCCUAAUACAUGCAAGUCGAGCGAACAGACGAGGAGCUUGCUCCUCUGACGUUAGCGGCGGACGGGUGAGUAACACGUGGAUAACCUACCUAUAAGACUGGGAUAAAUUCGGGAAACCGGAGCUAAUACCGGAUAAUAUAUUGAACCGCAUGGUUCAAUAGUGAAAGACGGUUUUGCUUUCACUUAUAGAUGGAUCCGCGCCGCAUUAGCUAGUUGGUAAGGUAACGGCUUACCAAGGCAACGAUGCGUAGCCGACCUGAGAGGGUGAUCGGCCACACUGGAACUGAGACACGGUCCAGACUCCUACGGGAGGCAGCAGUAGGGAAUCUUCCGCAAUGGGCGAAAGCCUGACGGAGCAACGCCGCGUGAGUGAUGAAGGUCUUCGGAUCGUAAAACUCUGUUAUUAGGGAAGAACAAAUGUGUAAGUAACUAUGCACGUCUUGACGGUACCUAAUCAGAAAGCCACGGCUAACUACGUG